Molecule: long non-coding RNA, 898 nt
Filed under: Heterocephalus glaber (naked mole-rat)
Lineage: Eukaryota; Metazoa; Chordata; Mammalia; Rodentia; Bathyergidae
Description: lncRNA (ENSHGLG00000047096.1)
Source: RNAcentral
CCGCCCUCCUGGGCGGCGCUGCCUUUGAUGAGGGUGAAGGCUGGGUCCACGCCUUGGGGAGAGAGGAAGAGGCUGUCUCUCAGAUUUAGGCCAACUGCAGAAAAACUUGCGACCACAUUGUGGGUCUUCUGGGCCUCAGCUUCCUCUCUAUAAGCAGAGGAGUUAGACUAGAUGAUCCCUAAAAUUCCUUCUGGAUCUCAACGGUCGGGAAUAGGAUUUUAUUGACUACCUUGGUUUCCAACCUUUGCCCCCCCAACUGUGCUGCGGCGCCCCCUGGUGUCCGCAUCUAGACAAGGUCUCAUUACGCAGUCCAGGCUGGCCUCGAACUCAUGGCAAACCUCCUGCCUCAGCCUCCCGAGUGCUGGGAUUAUAGGCAGGCGCCACCACGCCUGGCAUAAGUUGCUGUUCCUUAACUUCCUACUGCGAUCAGUUGAAUACCGGUCCCCAAAGAUGUCCCCAUCUUAACCCUCAGAACCUAUGUGUCACCUUCCAGGUGUGAAUAAGGAUCUUGAGAUGGGGGAGAUUGUCCUGGAUCAGCCAAGGGACCCAGUGUCCUCACAAGGAUCCGUUUAAGAGGCAAGCAAGGGGUCCGGGGAUUUAGCUCAGUGGUUCUACCGCCUGCCUCAUAAACACAAAGUCCCGAAUUCGAUCCCUGGUACCAAAAAAAAAAAAAAAAAAAAAGAGGGAAGCAAGAAAGUCAAAUGAGUGACAGAUGUGCCAUAGAAGCACAGUGUAGAAGAGUUUGGGACCACAAGCCAAGGUCUGCAGGUGGCAGAUGGGAGAUGGAGAAAGAGGAAAUGGCUUCUCCUCUCAAGCUUCCAGAAGGAAUGAAGCCCUGCUGCCCCCUGGAUUUUGUCCCCAUGAGAGCGAUUUCAAACUUCUGUCCUCUAGAACUGCA